RNAcentral lists this ribosomal RNA (590 nucleotides) under uncultured bacterium. RNAcentral's name for it is "bacterial SSU rRNA". It matches the Rfam family "Bacterial small subunit ribosomal RNA", at positions 367 to 960 of the family's 1533-position model. The record is from RNAcentral.
GACAAUGGAGGCAACUCUGAUCCAGCCAUGCCGCGUGAAGGAAUAAGGCCCUAUGGGUUGUAAACUUCUUUUAGACGGGACAAAACCCCUUUACGUGUAAAGGGUUGAUGGUACUGUCAGAAUAAGCAUCGGCUAACUUCGUGCCAGCAGCCGCGGUAAUACGAAGGAUGCAAGCGUUAUCCGGAAUUAUUGGGUUUAAAGGGUGCGUAGGCGGACUGAUAAGUCAGUGGUGAAAGCCUGCAGCUUAACUGCAGAAUUGCCGUUGAUACUGUCAGUCUUGAGUACAGUUGAGGUAGGCGGAAUGUGUCAUGUAGCGGUGAAAUGCUUAGAUAUGACACAGAACACCGAUUGCGAAGGCAGCUUGCUAAGCUGUAACUGACGCUGAGGCACGAAAGCGUGGGGAGCAAACAGGAUUAGAUACCCUGGUAGUCCACGCCCUAAACGAUGAUAACUCGCUGUUGGCGAUACACAGCCAGCGGCCAAGCGAAAGCAUUAAGUUAUCCACCUGGGGAGUACGACCGCAAGUUGAAACUCAAAGGAGUUGACGGGGGCCGCACAAGCGAGGAGCAUGUGGUUUAAUUCGAUGAUAC